RNAcentral lists this transfer RNA (63 nucleotides) under Dalcantha dilatata. RNAcentral describes it as "tRNA-Tyr". Lineage: Eukaryota; Metazoa; Arthropoda; Insecta; Hemiptera; Tessaratomidae. The record is from RNAcentral.
GAUAAGGUGACUGAAUUUUAAGUGAUAAAUUGUAAAUUUAUUUAUGGUAUAAACCUCUUAUCA